AUUGAACGCUGGCGGCAGGCCUAACACAUGCAAGUCGAGCGGAUGAAGGGAGCUUGCUCCUGGAUUCAGCGGCGGACGGGUGAGUAAUGCCUAGGAAUCUGCCUGGUAGUGGGGGAUAACGUCCUGAAACGGGCGCUAAUACCGCAUACGUCCUGAGGGAGAAAGUGGGGGAUCUUCGGACCUCACGCUAUCAGAUGAGCCUAGGUCGGAUUAGCUAGUUGGUGGGGUAAAGGCCUACCAAGGCGACGAUCCGUAACUGGUCUGAGAGGAUGAUCAGUCACACUGGAACUGAGACACGGUCAAGACUCCUACGGGAGGCAGCAGUGGGGAAUAUUGGACAAUGGGCGAAAGCCUGAUCCAGCCAUGCCGCGUGUGUGAAGAAGGUCUUCGGAUUGUAAAGCACUUUAAGUUGGGAGGAAGGGCAGUAAGUUAAUACCUUGCUGUUUUGACGUUACCAACAGAAUAAGCACCGGCUAACUUCGUG
Molecule: ribosomal RNA, 484 nt
Filed under: uncultured bacterium
Lineage: Bacteria
Description: partial 16S ribosomal RNA
Rfam family: Bacterial small subunit ribosomal RNA
Source: RNAcentral